RNAcentral lists this ribosomal RNA (420 nucleotides) under Triticum aestivum (bread wheat). Its description in RNAcentral is "partial small subunit ribosomal RNA". Lineage: Eukaryota; Viridiplantae; Streptophyta; Magnoliopsida; Poales; Poaceae. The record is from RNAcentral.
AUGGAUAAGGACUCUCUUAAGUCUACUUUGGAAGAGGUUCGCAAAUCAGUCGUCCGAAUAUCUUUUGACUGGAAGAGAGAAGAGAAUAUGGAGAAUAUGGUUAUUGCUGGCCUUGUUACCUCCGUCGUUGAUGAAUUAGCUACAAUAAUAGCAAAUCCUGUCUUCUUUAGGAGAUCAAAUGAGUUCUCUGUGCGUCUUCCACAGAAUGGGGGAUAUGGAGAAUUAAUUAAGAUCUCGUGUUCUUUGGUUAAAUAUCCGACCAAUAAUUUUUUCACAUUUCUUCUUGAGCUGAAAGGAAAUGCCUACAGAAAACCUGUCAACUUUGAACUUGGAAUCCAAGAAGAUGUUCGCCAGUUUAUGCCUUCGUUUUCCCUAGGGAAAAACAUGUCACACCAGUUGGCUUUUGUGAAGGCAACAUAA